GUAAGUUCUAAGUCCCCCCCUUCAGUAUUCUCAUCCAUUUAGUUCACCUCCAUUUAUUCAGUUAUUUUGCAAUUCAUUAAAUGAUUAUCUGUUAGAGACAUACUCUAAUCAUUUUAUCUUUUCUGUUAUCUUUUCUGUUAUCAGUUACUCUGCACUGUAUAAAGUGUCAGAUUAUUUGGAUGCAGAGUAUGUGGGUUAAAGUUUUCCAAAAUGCUCA
This is a non-coding RNA of Pelobates cultripes (western spadefoot toad), 217 nucleotides long. Lineage: Eukaryota; Metazoa; Chordata; Amphibia; Anura; Pelobatidae. The record is from the annotation of a GenBank genome assembly.